This 430-nucleotide ribosomal RNA is filed under the name Pseudomonadota bacterium. RNAcentral's name for it is "Proteobacteria bacterium partial 16S ribosomal RNA". It matches the Rfam family "Bacterial small subunit ribosomal RNA", at positions 355 to 776 of the family's 1533-position model. The record is from RNAcentral. Lineage: Bacteria; Pseudomonadati; Pseudomonadota.
UGGGGAAUAUUGGACAAUGGGGGGAACCCUGAUCCAGCCAUGCCGCGUGUGUGAAGAAGGCCUUAUGGUUGUAAAGCACUUUAAGCGAGGAGGAGGGUACUGGUAUUAAUACUACCAGGUACUGGACGUUACUCGCAGAAUAAGCACCGGCUAACUCUGUGCCAGCAGCCGCGGUAAUACAGAGGGUGCGAGCGUUAAUCGGAUUUACUGGGCGUAAAGCGUGCGUAGGCGGCUAAUUGAGUCGGAUGUGAAAUCCCCGAGCUUAACUUGGGAAUUGCAUUCGAUACUGGUUAGCUAGAGUGUGGGAGAGGAUGGUAGAAUUCCAGGUGUAGCGGUGAAAUGCGUAGAGAUCUGGAGGAAUACCGAUGGCGAAGGCAGCCAUCUGCCCUAACACUGACGCUGAGGUACGAAAGCAUGGGGAGCAAACAGG